Molecule: ribosomal RNA, 497 nt
Filed under: uncultured bacterium
Lineage: Bacteria
Description: partial 16S ribosomal RNA
Rfam family: Bacterial small subunit ribosomal RNA
Source: RNAcentral
GAUGAACGCUGGCGGCGUGCCUAAUACAUGCAAGUCGAGCGAACAGACGAGGAGCUUGCUCCUCUGACGUUAGCGGCGGACGGGUGAGUAACACGUGGAUAACCUACCUAUAAGACUGGGAUAACUUCGGGAAACCGUAGCUAAUACCGGAUAAUAUAUUGAACCGCAUGGUUCAAUAGUUAAAGACGGUUUUGCUUUCACUUAUAGAUGGAUCCGCACCGCAUUAGCUAGUUGGUAAGGUAACGGCUUACCAAGGCAACGAUGCGUAGCCGACCUGAGAGGGUGAUCGGAGACACGGGAACUGAGACACGGUACAGACACCUGCGGGAGGAAGCAGUAGAGAAUCUUACGCGAGGGACGAGAGCCUGACGGAGCAACGCCGCGUGAGUGAUGAAGGUCUAAGGAUCGUAAAGCUCUGUUAGUAGGGAGGAACAAAUGUGUAAGUAACUAUGAACGUAAUGACGGUACCGAAUCAAAAAGCCACGGCUAACUACGUG